ACAGCAGCAGCCACGGGAAUACAGAGGGUGCGAGCGUUAAUCGGAUUUACUGGGCGUAAAGCGUGCGUAGGCGGCUUCUUAAGUCGGAUGUGAAAUCCCUGAGCUUAACUUAGGAAUUGCAUUCGAUACUGGGAAGCUAGAGUAUGGGAGAGGAUGGUAGAAUUCCAGGUGUAGCGGUGAAAUGCGUAGAGAUCUGGAGGAAUACCGAUGGCGAAGGCAGCCAUCUGGCCUAAUACUGACGCUGAGGUACGAAAGCAUGGGGAGCAAACAGGAUUAGAUACCCGCGUAGUCCCUGUCUCUUAUAC
Molecule: ribosomal RNA, 305 nt
Filed under: uncultured bacterium
Lineage: Bacteria
Description: partial 16S ribosomal RNA
Rfam family: Bacterial small subunit ribosomal RNA
Source: RNAcentral